Molecule: ribosomal RNA, 253 nt
Filed under: uncultured bacterium
Lineage: Bacteria
Description: partial 16S ribosomal RNA
Rfam family: Bacterial small subunit ribosomal RNA
Source: RNAcentral
UACAGAGGCCUCAAGCGUUGUUCGGAUUCAUUGGGCGUAAAGGGAGCGUAGGCGGUCGGGUAAGUCGGGUGUGAAAUCCUGGGGCUCAACCUCAGAACUGCACUCGAUACUGCUUGGCUAGAGAGUUGGAGAGGUGAGUGGAAUUCACGGUGUAGCAGUGAAAUGCGUAGAUAUCGUGAGGAAGACAAGCGGCGAAGGCGGCUCACUGGACAACAUCUGACGCUGAGGCUCGAAGGCCAGGGGAGCAAACGGG